RNAcentral lists this ribosomal RNA (318 nucleotides) under Agelenopsis pennsylvanica. Its description in RNAcentral is "partial 12S ribosomal RNA". The record is from RNAcentral. Lineage: Eukaryota; Metazoa; Arthropoda; Arachnida; Araneae; Agelenidae.
AAGUAACAUAAACCUUUCAAGUAAACUAAUUUAGUUUGGCGGCAUUUCAUCAUAUUAAAGGAAUUUGUCCUUUAAUCGAUAAUCCCCGUUAAAUUUAACUUAUUUUAAAAAUUUAUAUACCGCCAUCUCAAGAAUUAACUUAAAAAUAUUCCUCUUAAUAAAAAAUAAAAAGUUAGGUCAAGGUGUAGUUAAUAAAUAAGAAUGAGAUGAAUUACAUUAAAUAAUAUUUAAGAAUUAUUUUUUCAAAACUAAACAUGAAAAAGGAUUUAAAUGUAAUAUUAAAAUAAAAUUUUAAUAUGAAUUAGAUAAUAAAUGUGC